RNAcentral lists this ribosomal RNA (469 nucleotides) under uncultured organism. RNAcentral's name for it is "partial 16S ribosomal RNA". It matches the Rfam family "Bacterial small subunit ribosomal RNA", at positions 335 to 796 of the family's 1533-position model. The record is from RNAcentral.
ACUCCUGCGGGAGGCAGCAGUGGGGAAUUUUGGACAAUGGGCGAAAGCCUGAUCCAGCAAUGCCGCGUGAGUGAAGAAGGCCUUCGGGUUGUAAAGCUCUUUUGUCAGGGAAGAAACGGUGAGAGCUAAUAUCUCUUGCUAAUGACGGUACCUGAAGAAUAAGCACCGGCUAACUACGUGCCAGCAGCCGCGGUAAUACGUAGGGUGCAAGCGUUAAUCGGAAUUACUGGGCGUAAAGCGUGCGCAGGCGGUUUUGUAAGUCUGAUGUGAAAUCCCCGGGCUCAACCUGGGAAUUGCAUUGGAGACUGCAAGGCUAGAAUCUGGCAGAGGGGGGUAGAAUUCCACGUGUAGCAGUGAAAUGCGUAGAUAUGUGGAGGAACACCGAUGGCGAAGGCAGCCCCCUGGGUCAAGAUUGACGCUCAUGCACGAAAGCGUGGGGAGCAAACAGGAUUAGAUACCCGUGUAGUCC